Molecule: small nuclear RNA, 107 nt
Organism: Apodemus sylvaticus (European woodmouse)
Lineage: Eukaryota; Metazoa; Chordata; Mammalia; Rodentia; Muridae
Source: RefSeq, a predicted model, not a curated record
GUGCUCAAUUUAGCAGCACAUAUACUAAAAUUCAAACAAUACAGGGAAGAUUAGCAUGGUCCCUGUGCAAGGAUGACACACAAAUUCCUGAAGUAUUCCAUACUUUU